This is a non-coding RNA of Erinaceus europaeus (western European hedgehog), 116 nucleotides long. Lineage: Eukaryota; Metazoa; Chordata; Mammalia; Eulipotyphla; Erinaceidae. The record is from Rfam.
GUCUACGGCCACACCUCCCCGAACAUGCCCCAUCUCGUCUGAUCUCGGAAACUAAGCAGGGUCGGGCCUAGUCAGGACUUGGAUGGGAGACAGUUGACUCCUAUUUGCCCCUUGCC